RNAcentral lists this ribosomal RNA (601 nucleotides) under Citrobacter amalonaticus. Its description in RNAcentral is "bacterial SSU rRNA". It matches the Rfam family "Bacterial small subunit ribosomal RNA", at positions 534 to 1137 of the family's 1533-position model. The record is from RNAcentral. Lineage: Bacteria; Pseudomonadati; Pseudomonadota; Gammaproteobacteria; Enterobacterales; Enterobacteriaceae.
GCGGUACGUUAUCGGAUUCUGGGCGUAAGCGCACGCUAGGCGGUCUGUCAAGUCGGAUGUGAAAUCCCCGGGCUCAACCUGGGAACUGCAUUCAAAACUGGCAAGCUUGAGUCUCGUAGAGGGGGGUAGAAUUCCAGGUGUAGCGGUGAAAUGCGUAGAGAUCUGGAGGAAUACCGGUGGCGAAGGCGGCCCCCUGGACUAAGACUGACGCUCAGGUGCGAAAGCGUGGGGAGCAAACAGGAUUAGAUACCCUGGUAGUCCACGCCGUAAACGAUGUCUAUUUGGAGGUUGUGCCCUUGAGGCGUGGCUUCCGGAGCUAACGCGUUAAAUCGACCGCCUGGGGAGUACGGCCGCAAGGUUAAAACUCAAAUGAAUUGACGGGGGCCCGCACAAGCGGUGGAGCAUGUGGUUUAAUUCGAUGCAACGCGAAGAACCUUACCUGGUCUUGACAUCCACAGAACUUGCCAGAGAUGCCUUGGUGCCUUCGGGAACUGUGAGACAGGUGCUGCAUGGCUGUCGUCAGCUCGUGUUGUGAAAUGUUGGGUUAAGUCCCGCAACGAGCGCAACCCUUAUCCUUUGUUGCCAGCGGUCCGGCCGGGAA